RNAcentral lists this ribosomal RNA (119 nucleotides) under Triticum aestivum (bread wheat). The record is from RNAcentral. Lineage: Eukaryota; Viridiplantae; Streptophyta; Magnoliopsida; Poales; Poaceae.
GGAUGCAAUCAUACCAGCACUAAAGCAUCGGAUCCCAUCAGAACUCCGUAGUUAAGCGUGCUUGGGCGAGAGUAGUACUAGGAUGGGUGACCUCCUGGGAAGUCCUCGUGUUGCAUUCC